UGAGUACGAGACGCUAAGGCGUCGAAGUAGUGUAUGUCAUACUUCCAAGAAAAGCUUGCACUGUCAUUCAUAAAAAAUGCCUGUACCAUAACCGACACAGGUGGGUAGGUAGAGUAUACUAAGGGGCGCGAGAUAACUCUCUCUAAGGAACUCGGCAAAAUAACUCCGUAACUUCGGGAGAAGGAGUGCCUUAUUUAUAUAAGGUUGCAAUAACAAGAUCCAAGCAACUGUUUACCAAAAACACAGGUCUCCGCUAAGUCGUAAGACGAUGUAUGGGGGCUGACGCCUGCCCAGUGCCAGAAGGUUAAAGAAGUUGGUUAGCAAUAGCGAAGCUGAUAACUGAAGCCCUGGUGAACGGCGGCCGUAACGAUAACGGUCCUAAGGUAGCGAAAUUCCUUGUCGGGUAAGUUCCGACCCGCACGAAAGGCGUAAUGAUUUGGAUACUGUCUCGGAGAGGGACUCGGUGAAAUAGACUUGUCUGUGAAGAUGCGGACUACCUGCACCUGGACAGAAAGACCCUAUGAAGCUUUACUGUAACUUGAAAUUGAAAUUGGACUUUAUUCGCGCAGUAUAGGUGGGAGGCGUUGAAAAUAAUCUUGCGGGACUAUUGGAGCCAUCAGUGAGAUACCACUCUUAUAAUGUUAGAUUUCUAACUUUGAAUCAUUAUCUGGUCAAAGAACAGUUUCAGGCGGGCAGUUUGACUGGGGCGGUCGCCUCCCAAACGGUAACGGAGGCGUACAAAGGUUUCCUCUGAACGGGUAGAAAUCGUAUCUAGAGUAUAAAGGCAAAAGGAAGCUUGACUGUGAGACCUACAAGUCGAGCAGGGACGAAAGUCGGUCUUAGUGAUCUGACGGUACUGAGUGGAAAGGCCGUCACUCAACGGAUAAAAGUUACUCUAAGGAUAACAGGCUGAUCUCCCCCAAGAGUUCACAUCGACGGGGAGGUUUGGCACCUCGAUGUCGGCUCAUCGCAUCCUGGGGCGGUAGUACGUCCCAAGGGUUGGGCUGUUCGCCCAUGAAAGCGGUACGCGAGCUGGGUUCAGAACGUCGUGAGACAGUUCGGUCCAUAUCCGGUGUAGGCGUUAGAAUAUUGAGAGGAGCCUUCUUUAGUACGAGAGGACCGAGAAGGACAUACCUCUGGUGUACCAGUUAUCGUGCCAACGGUAAACGCUGGGUAGCUAUGUAUGGAGUGGAUAACCGCUGAAAGCAUCUAAGUGGGAAGCCCACCUCAAGAUGAGUAUUCUCAGC
Molecule: ribosomal RNA, 1247 nt
Filed under: metagenome
Description: bacterial LSU rRNA
Rfam family: Bacterial large subunit ribosomal RNA
Source: RNAcentral